This is a long non-coding RNA of Ornithorhynchus anatinus (platypus), 304 nucleotides long. RefSeq lists it as uncharacterized. NCBI's taxonomy places the organism in Eukaryota, Metazoa, Chordata, Mammalia, Monotremata, Ornithorhynchidae. The transcript has 2 exons. The record is from RefSeq and is a predicted model, not a curated record.
CUCGUCCUCCUCGCAUUUCAGUUCUUUCCUCGGUCUCCCACGUUUUCCCAUAUUUAAUUCAGGUUUUUGGGGUUUUUUUUAAAUGACAGAUUUCGUGAUAGUCCUUUAUCUUGGGAAGAGCCCAGGAAGGUGCCAAAGCAGGCAGAGGAGAACAGUCUGUCGCUGACUUUUCGAUCCUCUCCUUGGGCAGUUUGUCCAGCUGUUGCAAGGCCUCAGAAGCUGUUUUCCAGUCCCUCUUUGAAGAUGUGGAAAAAAAGGGGAAUGUCAAUUUUUUUUAAUCAAAAAUAAAAUUGAAAGACUGUAA